GACUGUUUGGCGCAAUGGUAGCGCGUGCCCCUCCUAAGGGCAAGGUUGUGGGUUCGAGUCCCAUGAUGGUCG
RNAcentral lists this transfer RNA (72 nucleotides) under Sporormia fimetaria CBS 119925. It matches the Rfam family "tRNA". From Rfam's summary of the family: Transfer RNA (tRNA) molecules are approximately 80 nucleotides in length. Lineage: Eukaryota; Fungi; Ascomycota; Dothideomycetes; Pleosporales; Sporormiaceae. The record is from Rfam by way of RNAcentral.